CGGAUUGAAGGCUGAAAUUCGCCUUCAUGAAGCCGGAAUUGCUAGUAAUGGCAGGUCAGCAUACUGCCGUGAAUACGUUCCCGGGCCUUGUACACACCGCCCGUCACACCAUGAGAGUUGGGGAUACCCGAAGCCUGUGAGCUAACAGUAAUGAAGCAGCAGUCGAAGGUAGAAUCAAUGAUUGGGGUGAAGUCGUAACAAGGUAUC
Molecule: ribosomal RNA, 207 nt
Filed under: uncultured bacterium
Lineage: Bacteria
Description: partial 16S ribosomal RNA
Rfam family: Bacterial small subunit ribosomal RNA
Source: RNAcentral